This 406-nucleotide ribosomal RNA is filed under the name uncultured bacterium. RNAcentral describes it as "partial 16S ribosomal RNA". It matches the Rfam family "Bacterial small subunit ribosomal RNA", at positions 30 to 526 of the family's 1533-position model. The record is from RNAcentral.
AUUGAACGCUGGCGGCAGGCCUAACACAUGCAAGUCGAACGAGUGGCGGACGGGUGAGUAAUGUAUGGGAACGUGCCUAAUGGAGGGGGAUAACUACUGGAAACGGUAGCUAAUACCGCAUACCAUCGGAUGUACCCAGAUGGGAUUAGCUAGUAGGUGGGGUAAUGGCUCACCUAGGCGACGAUCCCUAGCUGGUCUGAGAGGAUGACCAGCCACACUGGAACUGAGACACGGCCCAGACUCCUACGGGAGGCAGCAGUGGGGAAUAUUGGACAAUGGGCGAAAGCCUGAUGCAGCCAUGCCGCGUGUGUGAAGAAGGCCUUCGGGUUGUAAAGCACUUUUGGCGGGGAGGCGUUAUUCGCAGAAGAAGCACCGGCUAACUACGUGCCAGCAGCCGCGGUAAUUC